ACCCAAGCUGAUUCCCUCUUCCAAGGGGCUAUUGGUGCCCCUCUUCAGGAAAGUAGCAACUUGGAAUAAUAAAAUCUGGCAUGCUUCAGGACUCCGGAGAAGAGAGGCUGCUGCUUUUCCUUCCUUUGGCUGCCAACAUGU
Erinaceus europaeus (western European hedgehog) is the source of this 141-nucleotide small nucleolar RNA. The record is from Ensembl. NCBI's taxonomy places the organism in Eukaryota, Metazoa, Chordata, Mammalia, Eulipotyphla, Erinaceidae.